GGGUAAUUUGCAUUCGUACUUCUUUUGUUAUUGAAAUUAAUACAAUCAACAUGACAUCAGUAAAAUAUGCCGACGAAGUCUCAUGGCUAGUAAUACAUGAAAAACGUGCUUGCAAACUUAAACAAAUUUUAAUAUAUUUUUUAUAAAAAAAAGAACAAAUAACGCGCGUGAUAAUCGAGAAUAUACAUACACAGUGAUGUGACUGCCUUAUCGGAUUAAAUAUUGUUAAAAUAUUCUUCGAAAAUAUAUGUACAUGUGUCCAGUAGUGAGUUACUGACGAAAGGUCGAUAAUUUCGUAAUCUAAACUGUGAGCACUUAAGCCCACUUGUUGUCGGUUGUUCCGCUUAAGCGUUGAUACUGUUUUGUCGUGAUAUUUAACAAUUACAUUCGUGGUUGGGUUUGAAUAUUAAGUUGAUCUAAUUGCAUUUUAGAUACACGUCGCGCACAUGUUGCAAUGAUAAAAGUUUUCAUCACGAGCGUCUCUUUUUCUAUUUUUCAAUUGCCUCGAGGGGGAAUCGCUCCCUUCGCUUUAAAGUUCUUCAGUGCGGUCGUAAAUUUCCGUGCAAGUAAAAAAAGAAAAAUGCACAUAUGUCUGACGAAAGAAAGAGACAGGGAGAGACAGAGAAAGGGAGGAAGAGAAGGGGGGAGAGAGAGAGAGAGAGAGAGAGAGAGAGAGAGAGAGAGAGAGAGAGAAAGAGAGAGGGAGGGAGGGAGAGAGAGAGAGAGUAAGAAAGAGAGAAACAUACGAGGGGGGACAAAAAGGACAGAGACGGAGACACAGACAGAGAUAAACAGUUAGAUAGAAGAGCCAAACGACAAAAGUGACGAGGAAAGUGCGAGUAUCGUCCUCCGGAGCAUCGCGCUGUCUCGCGGCGACACUAACCUCUGUCGUUGUUGCGCGCUCCGGUCGCUCGCUCGCUCACGCUCGCUCAUUCGUUCAUUCGUCUGUGCGUCCGUCCGUCCUUCGCAGCGAGAUCUGUCAUCAAUCAGAGACCGAGGAGGCGCGUUCCCUCGGCCGGCCGUUCGAUUGCACGGAAUGCUGCCCUCGCCGCCGCCGUCGUCGCCGUCGCCGUGUUACGCUAAAAAUAUGCGGCAGUGAGGCAACCCGCGAACGGCGGCGGAGCACCGUGUCCGUGGCAGCGAAGCGGCUCUCGGCUGCGUGCUAGGUCGCAUCCGGAGCCGGUACCGUAUUAAGAGAAAGAGGAGGAACAGUAGGAGAAAGAGGAGAUCGAGGGAGAAGAAGAAAGGAGGAGCCCGCUCGCCGACGAGGACGACGCUGACGACGACGACGACGACGACGACGACGGCGGCGAAGGGGUAAUCGUCUUCCCCGUAGAUCGAGACCACCGUUGAAAGGACCCACCGAGGAAAAUGGCGGACCUCGAGGCGGUGUUGGCCGACGUCAGCUACCUGAUGGCCAUGGAGAAGAGCAAGUGCACGCCGGCCGCCCGCGCCAGCAAGAAGAUCAUCCUGCCGGAUCCUAGCGUGCGGAGCGUGAUGCACAAGUAUCUGGAGAAGAAGAACGAAGUGAACUUCGACAAAAUAUUUAAUCAAAUGUUAGGUUACCUUUUAUUCAAAGACUUCUGCGAGACUGUAGCGGAGGAACCGAAUCCGCAACUUAGGUUUUACGAAGAGAUCAAAGCGUACGAGAAGCUCGAAUGUCCGGAGGACAGGAGAAAACUCGCCAGGGAGAUCUACGACAAUUACAUUAUGAAGGAGUUGCUGGCGCAUUCUCACGAGUAUUCGCAGGAGGCGGUGUCACACGUGCACAAGUAUCUCAUGAAGAAUGAAGUACCAGUCAACUUGUUCGAGCCGUAUAUCGAGGAGAUUUUCAAUCACCUGCGGGGGGAGCCGUUUAAAAAGUUUUUGGAAAGCGAUAAGUAUACCCGAUUUUGCCAAUGGAAGAAUCUAGAGCUAAAUAUCCAGCUGACGAUGAGCGACUUCAGCGUGCAUCGGAUAAUCGGGAGGGGCGGCUUCGGCGAAGUGUACGGUUGCCGGAAAGCGGACACCGGCAAGAUGUACGCCAUGAAAUGCUUGGAUAAAAAACGCAUUAAGAUGAAGCAGGGCGAAACGUUAGCGCUCAACGAAAGGAUAAUGCUCUCGCUAGUCAGCACCGGGAUCCAUCGUCAUCCGCAGAUGGACUGUCCGUUCAUAGUAUGUAUGACGUACGCAUUUCACACGGCCGAUAAGCUGUGCUUCAUACUGGACCUGAUGAACGGCGGCGACCUGCACUACCACCUGAGCCAACACGGUGUCUUUAAUGAGCCGGAAAUGAAGUUCUACGCCGCGGAGGUGAUACUGGGCUUGGAACACAUGCAUCGCAGGUACAUCGUUUAUCGCGAUCUCAAGCCGGCGAACAUACUGCUGGACGAGCAUGGCCACGUGAGGAUAUCGGAUCUAGGAUUGGCAUGCGACUUCUCCAAAAAGAAACCGCAUGCGAGCGUCGGCACGCACGGAUACAUGGCACCGGAGGUACUCUCGAAGGGUACCGCGUACGACUCGAGCGCAGACUGGUUUUCAUUCGGCUGUAUGCUGUACAAGCUACUGAAAGGACACAGCCCAUUCAGACAACACAAGACCAAGGACAAGCACGAGAUAGACCGUAUGACGUUAACCAUGAACGUGGAGCUGCCGGAGACGUUCUCGCGGGAGUUACGGUCACUGUUAGAAGGUCUGCUUCAACGAGACAUCAACAAUCGGCUCGGCUGCCGUGGAAACGGCGCGGAUGAGCUUAAGGAACACCCGUUUUUCAGCGGUAUCGAUUGGCAGCAGGUGUAUCUUCAGAAGUACACGCCGCCCUUAAUACCGCCGCGCGGCGAGGUCAACGCCGCGGAUGCCUUCGACAUCGGCUCUUUCGACGAGGAGGACACGAAAGGUAUCAAGUUGACCGACGCGGAUCAGGAUCUAUACAAAAACUUUGCUCUAGUCAUCUCAGAGAGAUGGCAGGCUGAAGUAGCCGAGACUGUGUUUGAGACAAUCAAUAACGAGGCGGACAAGCUGGAAAAUAAGAAGAAGGCGAAGCAGAAGCAACACUUUGACGCAGAUGAAAAGGGCUCGGAUUGUAUAUUACACGGCUACAUAAGGAAAUUGGGAGGCCCGUUUGCGAGCACAUGGCAGACACGCUACGCGAAACUCUACCCGAAUCGGUUAGAGUUACAUCCAGAGUCCGCAACUAAGCCCGAGCUCGUGUUUCUUGAUCAGGUCGAGGAGGUUGGGGCGGAUCUGCAGCACGUGAAAGGGGAACAGUGCAUCGUAGUACGUACGAGAGACGCGAAGAUCGUACUUACAAAUGCUGACGAGAUAAGCUUGAAAGAAUGGGCGCUCUCGUUGAGAUCGGCGCACAAAUGCUCAAUGGAGAUGCUCGGCAAUAUGGCAAGGAAAGCGGGCAAGAUCUACGGGACUGAGCGGGACGCCUUGAUCCCGGCGACGCAGCGAUCCACGAACGGCAACUAGCCCAUUGUCGCUGUCAAGUGCGACGCACCGUCAUACUCCACCAGUCCCACUGCCCCGCAGCAGCAGCAGCAGCAGCAACUUUUUUUAUACUAAACGGGUAACGGAGAGCGCGCAGCGGAGACGACAAGAAGAAGAGAAGCAUUAAGAAAGGCGUCUCCUAUGAGUAACGGCGACGGCACACGGUAGUGCCACGCGCAUCUUCCUCCCACGGAGGAAGUAGCUCUCGCCUCUCGACUCGCCGCUCACGACGUAAGCGGAUGACGAUGAUCCCUCUCUCUCUUGGCACAAACUCAGAAACGCGCGAAACGUCCCGCGGAAGUCCCGUUGUGUGUACGGCGGAUAGCGCUGCGCUGUAUCAUAGAGACUUUAGCCAAGUAGUGUAUCGUACAUCGCGCGUACGUACGUUCCCAGGGCCACAAGCAGGUAGGCGCGCGCGAGCGAGCAAGCGCGCGCCCACACGAACACACACACACACACACAGAUAUAUACAACACACGCAUACACAGAGAGAGAGAGAGAGACACACACACAUCUAAUCCGCGGCUCUUCUGGUCACUGGCGCGACUCGCGCGUAGGCAUCGUUAUAUUUGUACGUUAGUUGUAUGUGCAAUGUGACGUAGUGACUAGCAGCGACCGAGCCCCAAGAGAAAGCCUGACGACGCCGACGUCAUCGGGUGAUGAACAAAAAUUCAAUCGGCACGGAGAACACGAGACACCCCCGAUAGCGUAUUAUUCCGACGAAGUACUAGUACCACGCGGAUCCCCGUACUCUUAUUACUUCUACGCGUCGUGUACAUUCGUUUGCCAAACGGUUUGGACACUUUUUUGUACAUAUUUCAAAGUGCACCCGACAUCCAGUUGAAGAAUCUGUCUUGAGAAAGUUGCUAGAGAACAAUUCCUCCCACUGAAAGUCGCCUACGUGCUGAAGUGCGUCGAAGAAGAUGCAUUCAAACCAUUUCGCAAAUGAGUGUACGCUUGUCUGCACAACGCUUGGCUGCACACAUUUUAUUCCAAUGAAACUUGGAGCGCAUCAUACGGUUAUGAAUCAUUGCUUACGGGCUUGCAUAGUAAUCGGUUAUAAAACUCGAAUAAUAGUAGAUAAUAUAAAUAGCGGUCAAUUUAUUACGCCUGAUGGUUAAAAAUAUGACAGAAAUAUAUUUUCCUGAAUCCUCCGGUGCAGUUGUCACUGCAAGUUGAAUGUUGUUGAAUGUCUUGUAUGCUAUCACUUUGGCUUCUGUCAUACACAUGCAAGCCCACGAGUAACGCAAUCCUGACCAUUUGAUGCGUUCCCUUUAUCGUAGAAAGUGUGCACGCACCUCAUUGUGCAGACGAGUGUACCGCUUUUGUUUACUUAAUUUAUUUACUAAUGCAGACACACAUACAUACGGACACACCGGUUUUAUAUUAUCCCUGCGAUAACAAAAGUGAUCCAUUAUUUAUUAUGUUGUUAAGUGCGAGAAUGAAAGGGAGUGAAAGGGAGAGAGAGAAAGGAAGAAAGUACGAACCAGAGAACUCGUUUGUAUAUUAGCCAAAAAAGAAAAAGAAAAGUGGAUCGAGUACCGACGCCAACGUGUGUACGCUCGAGUGGAUGUGGACGCGAAUCCGCUCUGGCAAUAAAAUGUGCGAUGAACGUAGAUUGAAGAGCUUUCUUUCGUCCUGCAUCUCGUGUUGUCAAUAGAUCGACGCUAAGGGCGAAGCUUCGAAGUCCGCUCUCUCGAGCCACGUCGGCGGAUCGCUUACCUUCGACGGAAGAGGACACAGCAGCCUCUCGACGGCGGCGCAUAACCCGCACCACUCCCUGAAGUUCAACGACUCCGUUAUCUCUCCUAUCACGGUCCUCAGAUAAGACCGCUGCUCGUCCGUCAGCGCCUUCCCGACCACUUCCUGAAGAGCCUCUUCGACAUCGUUCGGCGAGAUACGUCGUUCUCCUUGCGACGUCUCCUCGUUGAAUUUAGCGAAUAUCCGGCCGAAUAUCAGCUUCCUACCCGACGUGACGCACACGUGCUUGCUGAGGUACCGCAAAGGCGUUAAUCCUGCAACGAUCGUAGCUCCUGACAGCGCUUGAUCUUUCAAUGAUCUUCCGAUAAAGCGAUAAGCGAAUUGUUCAGUACAAGUAAGAAGGGAUUCAUCUGUCAAGACGAUAGACUUUUGCUCGCCUUGAUUGAGAAUUCUACUCUAUCCCUUAUUGUAAGUGCUUCCGAAUAAUGAAAAAAAAAACAUGACUGAAAAUAUUCAUACGCACCACGAAGACUCUGACUGUCGAGUAACUCGAAACGCGCCGCUUGACGGGAGAAUAUUCGGGGUGCGUUUUGCGCUGACAGACCAGUAUUGGCCAGGCGAGAUACACGCGAGUAGGAAACAUCGCCUUUCACUCGUAGCGCUUCUUCUAGGGCGAUCCGUCUCUAAGACAGUUGAAUUAUUUCGCGCUAGAGGAGAAGGCAAGAGCUUGUCCGCAAAGAUGUUACAUUCGUUGUACUCACUUUGAUCGAAAAUUCCGCCUCUACCUUGUCGCGAUCCAGUUCCCUCCACAAGUGCUUCAAAAUGUCAGGUGCCAGGAAACUCGAAGGCAUCGUGUAAGUCGCUGCUGGCGCGGGUGUCUUCUUGGGAGACGCCACACCAUCAGCUUCGGCUGUAUUUGUUGUAUGAACCCUAUUGCGUUUUUGUCAAAAAACUUUUCUCGUAAUCAAUGGACUUUUCAUUCGAUAUGAACAGAAAUGUGCACGGCGCCAGUGAAAAGUAUUGUAACCGCUUGGAAACUUAUUUGUGGAAAAAUCUCAUUUGUACACUGAGAAAAAAAAUAUCCAAAAAAUAAAGAAAUAUUUAUUUGAUGGGUACUAAUAACA
Odontomachus brunneus is the source of this 6296-nucleotide RNA transcript. It is a transcript of the gene named G protein-coupled receptor kinase 1, with no coding region annotated. The transcript has 17 exons. NCBI's taxonomy places the organism in Eukaryota, Metazoa, Arthropoda, Insecta, Hymenoptera, Formicidae. The record is from RefSeq and is a predicted model, not a curated record.